RNAcentral lists this long non-coding RNA (3911 nucleotides) under Homo sapiens (human). RNAcentral describes it as "non-protein coding lnc-R3HCC1L-2:1". The record is from RNAcentral. Lineage: Eukaryota; Metazoa; Chordata; Mammalia; Primates; Hominidae.
GGCGCUGGGCCCGCGGCUGUUUUGCAGGGAGGGCCGCGGCGGCCUCGGGAGUCCCUCUCCCAGGCAGUUUCCUCUUUUGCAGAACAAGGUAAUGACGCCCACCUAGAGUCCCAGUCUGUGAGUCCUGGUGGGUGCCAGGGCCCCCGGCACAGCACCCUUCGCACGGGAGCGCCCGGCUGUCACAGGGGCCGAAUCUCACGAGCUCGGUCACUUAGGACAAUGUAGACGCCCUUUCUGGGAGGCCGGGGCUCAGUUCAGAGAGGUCGAGGUGGCGCGGUGCAGCGGUGCUCUCCUGCAGGAACAGGCGAGUCACCCAGAGUUUACUGAAUACCGCCCCCCCCCCCCCCCCCGCCCUCCGUGUGAAACUCUGCGCUGCCCAUUGUGCAGCUGGGAACACUGAGCCCCAGGCGACAUAACUUGCUCCUCCAGGCAAUACACAGUGAAUGGGAGAACCCCUUCACAGAGCUGAAUGAUGCAGUCCUGGCCCUUGUCAGACUCACGGGAGGAGGGUGUUAGUGCAGGGAGCAGGGACUGUAGAAUUAAAGAAAUGUGGACAUGGCUGACAGAGAGGAGUCCCAUCAGCUGAACUGAGCACCUAGGUGCCUGAACCCCAGUCCAAGCCCCCAGUUUCUUUCCCCUAGACCUGGUCCUGCCCUUAGCCUCACUGGCCCCAUCUGUAAAAUGGGCAGAGGGUUCCAGCCUCCCGGUUUCCUCCCUAGGCCCACAGCUGCCCAACCUGGUUCCCCCUCUUGCCCCCACCUUGCCUAAACGUCCUUCCAAAGGUUCAUUCAUCCCACAAGCCUUUAUUGAUUUUCUCCUACAUGCUAGACAGGGUGCUGGAGUGCUAGACGCUGGAGGGGGCCUUCCCAGUCUGGUGGGGGAGGCAGAUGUGCAAGUAAGAAUAAGCCUGGACAGGCAGAGUGUGAUAGAGCUAGGAUGUCAAGAUGGACCUUUUCGAUCCUGGGUGACAGCCAGGUCUUAAUGACCCUGCUGCCAGGGACCUGCCAUCCACUCCUGGCUGCCCGUGUCCAAGAUGUCCCCCCAGUGCCCCUGCCCCACCCCAGCUGGGCCCAAAACAUUCCCCAUGAUGAAUCAGCAGGAAAGAAUGCUCCCAGCCUCGGGUCAGUGGCAGCAGCCCAGCUCCUCCCCCAGGGACAAUGAGGCAGCUGUGGGCUUGGGUGCCAGGUAUGCCUAAGCCCUCUCCUAGGGCCCAGCCACCUCUCAUGCUGAGCCAGAAGCAACACAGAGGGUUCGGAAACGUGGGCUCUGCCUGCUGCCAAUCACUCACCAGGCCUGGCUGCCCAGAACUAAAAAUACCCUGGAGCGCAGGGGCGGGCGGAGGAUAGAGACCAGGGAAUGAAUGGAUGUUGCCCGGAAGUCCUUUAAUUUGCACAACUCUGGGCAGAGGCCAAGGCUGGGAAGCAGUGGAAGUGGGGAUCUCUAAGGCAUGCGCUGUGAGCCCCCAACCCUGAGAAGUGAGGGGCUCUGGUCCCAGCCCCAGCCCAUGGCGUACUAACAGUGGGAUUUUCUCGGCUGAGUUGUCAUCUCCUCAUCCUUAAAUGUGAUUGCUGUAGGGGUCAGAUGGGACCACUGGAUUCAUCUCAAUCAGCUUUCAUUUGAUUGAGAAAGCCCUCUUCUUCCCUCCUGCCUGGCUAUGUUCACCCGGCCUCAGCCCAGCGCCUGUGACCCUCUCCAUACUCUUUAUAUAAUGGUCUGUGUCUGCCUUAACUCUGGACACCCCCACCCACCCCCGAGCUUCUUAUUUAUCUCUAAACCCAGAUCCUGUCACAGAGCUUGACACAUAGCAAGUGCUCCAGAAGUGCUCACGGAUUGAAUAAAUGGACCUAGCGGUGCGUGCCAGUUUCUGGUCCCCAAGGUGAUACAGACAAGCCAGAGGUGCUUCCUAUCUUGUCCUCAAGGAAUUUGCAGAGUGGUGGGGGAGACAGAGCCACAAUCAACCAGCAGGACAAGGCAUCAUCACCAUUAUCAUCAUCAUGGCUGGCUGGGGUCGAAAAACCGGUGGACAAUGCUUUCAUCAUCUCCUGUUUACACAAUGAAACUGGGACACAAAGGGGUUAAGUGACUUGGCCAACAUCACACAGCUGUUAUCUGCAGAUGGGAGCAAGUGAUCAAUGACGGCGAAAGCACAGGGCUGUGUGGAUGCUGGGCAGGGAAGUCUGAGGGUUGAAGCCUUCCCAGAAGUGCCUUGGAAGGUGGAUCUGAUACACUGGGUAGAGAGGGGGGAAAGUGGAGUGGUCAGGAAUAACACUUUACGAUGUUGUGGAAGCCGUGAAGCACCAUGCAGGUGUCUGGAGUUACCGCAGCUCCCCUGAUCCCUCAGCCAGUACCCAGGGACUUGGAUGUGUAAGCAUCACCUCUCCCUGCCUCCUCCCAGGGAAAGGAGCUAACAUGAAUCUCUUCCCCAUGGGGUGCUUCUCAACCCUCCCUUCCUGCCUAAGUCAGGGUCUGUACUUUCCUCCCAAGUGGGAAGGCCAGAAUCUCCUGCAGAAAGCGGUGGCCUCCAGGGUGCACCUGGUUGAACCCAGUAGUGACCCUGGUGGAGUGCCCAGUGCCCAUGCCUGCUGGCAAACUUCCUCCUCAGCAGCCUUCAGGACUCAGUUCUAGCCUCAUCUCCUCUGUGACUCAGUAUGGAGGAAACUGUACAGCUUUAAAACUGGGCAACCUGAGUUCUAGCUCUGCUUCUGAAUUGUGUGGCCUCGGGUAAGUUAUUUUGCUGUGCCUAAGGUACUGCCUCCUGCAUCUAUUUGUCCUGCCGUUGCAUUCCUGCCUCCUCUAACACUCAGUGCUGUGGCAACAGCCCCCAAACUGCUCUCAGUUUUUCCCUGCAUCUCACUGUUCCUGACGUCAGUCUUUCUAAAGUGUUGUCUUGCUCUAGCUCAAGAAUCUUUAAUUGCUCACUACUGCCCACAGGAGAGAAGGAAUCUCCAGUUGCCUCUACUCACUUCAUUUUCCAUAUUCUACCUACCCUUCAGGCCUAACUCCGAUUCCAACUCCUCCGUGAUAUCUCCCAUGAAAACUUGCAUGAAUGCUCUCAAAGUAGAAGGUGCUGGAAGAGUCACAGAGCCAAACCAGACACAGUGUUUGCCCUCAAGGAGCUCACUGUCUAGUGAGAGAGAUGACUCAAAGACAUAGCUUGAUGGAACGUAGAUUGUAAUAACAGAAAGUAGGACAAAUGGGGAGAACAAGCCAUUUUGGCCAAGGACAGGCUCCUCCUUUGUUGAGAGCUGUUUAUCCAGAAACAGGGCUUUUGUUCAGGGAGAGGAUGGGAGCUGAGAGGGUUUUGUAAGAUCAUGAAGUUGGGGAAGUGGGGAGGGUGGAUCUAGGAAGCCUGGAGGGGCUAGUCAAGGAUACGGUUUCUAGGGAGAAAGGAGAGAUGAGCUGGUUGCAGUAAGGAGAGGAAAUUUGGCGGAAGAGCAGAGCUGGUUAAAAAGAAAUUCUAGGAAGUUUGGGUUUGUGAUAGGCAAAGUCACCCUCUCCCCUGUUCUGUGAAAGCUUCAGAAACCCCGCAUAAGUCAAUCAAGUUUGGAGCUGGACAGGCCCACCCCAGCAUUUGCAGGGCCCAGGGCAAGACUCAAGGGAGGCCUUAUGCCAUGAGUCAAGUAUUUUAAAGCCAUCAACCAAAUGAAUCCAUUGUUAAGUCAAUCAUGGUCUAGCCUCCCACCUUGACAAAUAUACCUUUGGAAAGACCUGGAAGGUCAGGUUUGCAUUCACAACUUUCCACUCCUCGGAGUUCUGUAUGGAACACGCUAUGACAAGAGUGUCUGCCUCUGGCCUUGCACCCUGGUGUGUCCGUCCGCACCAUAUUCUGCCCAUCCCACACAGCAAGGGGCCUUCUGCUGUGACAGACAUGCAACACCGUCGGCUCUGUGCAGACCUCCCACAGACAGCUG